RNAcentral lists this ribosomal RNA (254 nucleotides) under uncultured bacterium. RNAcentral describes it as "partial 16S ribosomal RNA". It matches the Rfam family "Bacterial small subunit ribosomal RNA", at positions 524 to 776 of the family's 1533-position model. The record is from RNAcentral.
CACGUAGGGUGCGAGCGUUGUCCGGAAUUAUUGGGCGUAAAGAGCUCGUAGGCGGUGUGUCGCGUCGGCCGUGAAAACCUGCAGCUUAACUGUGGGCUUGCGGUCGAUACGGGCAUCACUGGAGUUCGGCAGGGGAGACUGGAAUUCCUGGUGUAGCGGUGAAAUGCGCAGAUAUCAGGAGGAACACCGGUGGCGAAGGCGGCUACCUGGACCGGUACUGACGCUGAGGCGCGAAAGCUAGGGUAGCAAACAGG